CGAGACCUUGUGAGAAGGAUGGCAGCAACAAAGAAAACAGGACAGCAGCUUGUCUUUGUUUUCCUGUGCCAGGCACUUUCGUAUCUGCUUUAGCUCAUGAGAUCUCCUAGCAAGCAAGCGGAAGUACUGAGCUCUUCACCAUAGAGACGGGGUUUCACCGUGUUAGCCAGGAU
Molecule: long non-coding RNA, 173 nt
Organism: Homo sapiens (human)
Lineage: Eukaryota; Metazoa; Chordata; Mammalia; Primates; Hominidae
Exons: 3
Source: RefSeq, a predicted model, not a curated record